GGCAGCAUAGCACAGCGGUAAGGAACAGGGCUCGUAACCGAAAGGUUGCUGGUUCGAUUCCCCGCUGGUGCAU
Molecule: non-coding RNA, 73 nt
Organism: Megalops atlanticus (tarpon)
Lineage: Eukaryota; Metazoa; Chordata; Actinopteri; Elopiformes; Megalopidae
Source: the annotation of a GenBank genome assembly